UAAAGUUCUUAGUGUUAAAAUUUUCAUCGGGAUUCAGUUAACAUACAAUAGAUAUUAAAACCUGAUUGAUCAAAACAACAGAACUGUAUUAUAAAUUUUAGUGAGUACUUAUUAAACAUAAGAAAUAAAAUUUUAUUGAAUAGUCCUUUCUUACUGAAACUUAACAGGACUGUUUUUACAGUUGGUUUGUAUAUUUAUGGAUAAAUAUCACUUAUUGCUAGAAUAAGAGGAUUCAACAUCAAUUCUAUUUCUCAGUUUUGUUUUUAUAAAUAUAAGCAUUAAGAAACUUGGUUUACAUAAAUAAUUAGAAGGAAAUUAGAUGGAAAACAUUUUGCUUUCUCAAUGCCACUUAAUCAUUUGAGUGCCUUCUAAGUUAUAUUCAGAAAAUCACAUAGUGAUCCAUGUUAAAGUAAUUUUUAAUGAUCUUUGAAAAAAAUAUUUGGCCCUCUUUUAAUUUUCCUGAAGCAAAUCAUUAAACACCAUAAUGCUUGGGAAACACCAUAAUGCUUGGGAAAAGAUUUUUUUAAAAUCCUGUCAUUAAAGUCAUUUACUUUUGAAAUAUUUUAUUUUUAAUUGCCCCAUUUUUCCAGCCCUAGACUUUUUUAUACCCACAGUAAGUUCAGGCUGAGUGAGUGGCAUGUUCAUAAGAGAAGCACGACUGUGACAGGGGAAUGGGAAAUGGAGAACCAGCGUAAUGUCUCCAUUGCAGGUAAAUUUCAUACGGAAAUUAGGUAUCUGGAAAAAGAUUCCCUUAAAACUGAUUCUUUAUACCCUUAUAUCCUUAAAAGGCCUCAUGUACCUCAGGAGGCCUGUGUAUCUCAGUUUGAGGGCCAAUAUUCUCGUAGAGACAAAAAUGUAUAAAAAUAUAUACAAUGUGAUACUUCUUGAUACUAAAAAAAAAAUGCUAUAAAAGGAAGCAUAUGGUAAAAACCUGGAGGGAGAGUGCUAUGUGAGAUAAGGCAAUGAGAGAGGCCCCUGUGAGAGGGGCUGCCUAACCUGAGCCUGAAGGAUGAGCAUAGUUGUUUUGCAGAGCUGGUCAGGCAUGUUGUAAGUGGGAGGAACAGCAUGUGCAAAGGUCCUGUUGGAAAUAAGCUUGGCAUGUUUGAGUGGCAGAAAGAGGAUCUGUGGGGCUGGAGCAUGAUGACCAAGGGGAAGAGUGGAAGAAAGUGAGGUCCAGAAAUGGGCAAGGCCAUAUUUAUGAGGCCCUGAGGGAGCUGCACAUUAUUUUCAGCAUGAUUCAAAGCCAUCUGAGGUUUUAAGCAGGAGAAUGACAAGAGCUGAGUUUUGCUUUAGAAAUAUCUUUCUGGGUGCUGUGAGGUAGGGGCAGUGGAUGAUAGGGAAGUAAAAAUAAGCUAGCAAGUUGCAAGAUAGCUAUAGACUACUGCUGUCAUCCACGAGGGAAGUGACUGCAGCUUAGAACAGGGGACAACACUGAGGCUGAUAAGAAGAACUCAAUUUAGGAAAGCAUUUGGAGAAAAAGCCAACGAGAAUUGCUGAUGGGUUGCAUAUGCAGUGUGAAGAAAGAAAAAUAAUCUACCUGUAGAAUAAAUUCUAGAGGUGGAAUUGCUUAAUCAUGUCUAUGACAUAUUUUAAAAAAAAAACAUAAACUGAAGUGCUGGGCAGAUAUUUUGGACGACACACUAAGUGAUCAAGAACUCCAGUCUGAAAAUCUACCUGGAUAAGCAGUGAUAUGGACCCUACUCAUGGGCCAUUUUUCCAUAUCACCAUACAUGCCCCAGGCACUGAAAACUGCCAAAUAAACCUUCUUAAAAUGAGGUCCAUUUUCAAGGAACAACUCUUAUUGACACAGUUCUGAUCAGUCCAAAGUGUGCAACUAUCUAGUCUUAAGUAUGUUUUAUUUAAAUAAUGCCAGUAGGGAGUUGUGAAGCUAAAAUUAAUGUUUUGAAACUAUCCAUAAUUUUUUUAAAUGAAUUUUUUAUUAACCUUGCAAGAGACGUGAUCUAAAUUUUUAUCCUUUUCUUGCUAUAGAACAUAUUAUAAAAUUGUUGUAACACAAAAAGGCAAUCAAAGAGCAAGCAGCCAAAGGGUAGGAAAGAAGUAUUAUAGGUAUUAUAGAGAGUUGUCAGGCAGGUAAUUAAUAAAAUUUAAUUUUAUCUUGCUUGACUUUGUGAUUAUUGUGGUAUUUUUCAGUAAUUAAAAAUUUGUAAUUCAUUGUAGUUUCCUUUUCUCAGACUAAACAAAUACUUUCAUACUAAAUAUGUAUUUAAAUUUUGUAUUUUUUAUGUGAAAGAGGGCUCCCCAAAUUGUUUAAGCUUCAGGACCAUAAAACCUGGACCUGCUCCUGGCAAGUGUCAUCACUUAAUAACAUAGGAAAGACUUGACAUGGAGCAAAUGAUUGUUGUUGUUUGGGGAGAUGUAAUGUAGGGGGCAAUUAAUAGGGCUUUUUUGGCUUGGUUAAGCUAGAAAUGUCCAUUUACCAUCUUAAUGGAUGUAGGCAGUUGGAUAAAUGGGUCUGGAGCUCAAGAGUUCUGGGUUGGACAUGUAAGUUUUGGGUAUAAUUAGUGCAUAACUUUAAGAGACUGUGAAGAUUCCUAAGGUAAGAGUUUAUAGAGAAGGAAAAGAAGAGAAGAGGAUUCCUGACAAAGCUCUGAGGUCUUCAACAUUUAGAAAUUUAGUAUAAAAACAGAAUCAGCAAAGAGGGCCAAGCAGCAGCAGGCAAUGCCAUAGGAGGGAAACUAGGCAGGUGGUAGCCCAGAAACCUUGAUAAAGGAUUCCAUGGAAGAAGGGGAGUCAGUCAGGCCAAGCCCAGCUGGGAGGUUGUCUUAGUUCAUUUAAUGUUGCUAUAACAGAAUACCUGAAUCUGGGUAAUUUAUAAAGAAAGAAGUUUAUUUAGCUCAUGGUUCUGGUGGCUGGAAAGUCCAAGAUUGGGCAGCUGUAUCUGGUGAGGGGCUUAUGCUUCUAUAACUCAUGGCAGAAUGCAGAGCAGAAGAAAGCACAUGCAAACAAAGAGGCCAUGCAGGAGGAGUAAUCUCACUUUAUAACAACCUGCUAUUGCAGGAACUAAUCCAUUCCUAAGAGAGUGAGAACCUACCCACGACAUUAAUCUAUUCAUGAGGGAUUUGCUCCCAUGAGACAAACACCUCCCACUAGGCCCCAUCUCCCAAUACAACUGAACUGGCAGUUAAACUUCAACAUAAGUUUUAGUGAGGACAAACCACAUCCAAACCAUAGCAGAGGUCAAGAAAGUCAAAGGUGGGGUUGGUCAAAAGCCUCAGCCAUUGGUGACUCUGACAUGUGCCAUUUUCUUAGAGUGGUGGAUGAACAACUCUGGAGAGAAUUUAGGAUAGUCUUGGAGGUAAGGAAGCAAUGGACCGGGUGCAGUGGCUCCCACCUGUAAUCCCAGCACUUUGGGAAGCCGAGGUGGGCAGAUGACCUGAGGUCAGGAGUUCGAGACCACCCUGACCAACAUGGUGAAACUCCGUCUCUUCUAAAAAUACAAAAUUAGCCAGGCAUGGUGGUGCAUGCCUGUAAUCCCAGCUACUCAGGAGGCUGAGGCAGGGGAAUCGCUUGAACCUGGGAGGCAGAGAUUGCAGUGAGCCGAGGUCACGCCAUUGCACUCCAGCCUGGGUAACAGUGUAAGACUCUGUCUCAAAAAAAAAAAAAGAAGAAGAAGAAGAAAAGGAAAAGAAAAAGAGAAAGGAAGCAAUGACAGUGGAUAUAUUCAUCCUGCUUGAAAGUAUGGCUGCAAAGAAGAACAGAAAAGGGUGGUAGGAGCUGGAGGAGGUGUGGGUCCAAGGGGUGAAUUUGGUUUUGGUUUUUUAAUGAAUAAUAUUAAGCAUAUUUAUUUGCAAAUGGAAAUGAACCACUAGCAAGGAAAAACUGAUAUUGCAGGAAAGAAUGGGGAUAAUUGCAGAAUGAUCUAGAGUUUGAAUGGAAGCCUUUGCCUGAUCCAUUUUCUCUAUACAACAUGGAGAGAAUUUGGAAUCACAAAAUGACUAUUCUGACUAUCGGGGAUGGGGCACAGGAGAAGGAGUAAUAAAGAUUUGAGGUGAGAAAAGAAAUGUGAGGUAUUCUUGAAGGGAAACAUGACUUUGCUGUUUCUAUACUUUAUUACAAAAUUAUAAACUCUUUAGGGGAGGCCCUGUGUGUUAUACAUUUAUGGAAACCCCAUAGAGUCAGCAUAGCAUCUUGCAUACUCUAGGACUUCAAUGCGCUCCUGUUGAGUAGGUGGAUGGGUUGGAUGGAUGAGAAGUGCCUUGUAGGAAUCCAAAGGAAUAAAUUAAAAGACUUCAUCAAAUGGGGGAAAUUUCGAGUGAUGAGGAGGAUUCCAGAUAGGAGGGUGGCAUGAGUAAAGGUGCAAGUGUAGCUUCUCCUGGGAGGACUGUGCCUGGAUCUGAGGAGAGAUAUGUGUGUUUGAGAUGAUGGGAGAUGCAUUCAUAUGUGUUGGUGGGAUAAGCCCAAAUAGGUUAUGCCUUGCAAGUGAUGUUAAAGACUUUGGAUUAGCAUGUGAUUAGCAUGUAAUGCGGUAUCCAGGUUGAGAUUUUUUGGAACUUAGUUAAUACAGCCUGGACAAACAGAACAUUUAAAGCCACAAGUAGUUUUCAGUCAUUCAAAAUAUAGAAAUUUAAACUAGAAAGAUAAAGACUUCUGUUUUUAGGGAUAUCAUCUCAAGAAGUCUACAGUACGAAAAUGUAAAAUAAAUACUACUUUCUAAAAUGCAGCUACUAUUACCCCAAGAGGCUGGAGAUUAGCCUAGAAAGUACCAUUAUUAGACCAAUGUGUUAUCAUUCAAUUGCCUGGUAGGGAGUGGGGCACAGAGGAACAUGUAAAACCCCAAUAGACGGAGGGUGGUGUUUCUCUUGAAAGGAGUGAACAUCACCACUGUCAAUUGCCCUGGGAAGAAGUAGAUCCUAUGACAGGAAGUAAGGAUUGAGAAGGUAGACUACAGACUAGAGAGGAGGAGAAACUCAUCUCUUUCUGUGGGCCUCUGGUGAUGAGCCUGAUCAGGCUUUGAGUACUUUCAGUGGUGGGCAUGAGCGUGUACUUUGUAAGCAGGUCAACAUUUAGGCAGAAGGCAGUGGGUUGGCCUGCAGAUUCAGAGAAAUCACAUCUAAGUUCUCUAAGUUCUCUUCUUGUGCUUCCCCAACCCUUGAGUCCAUUUCAAUUCACUUUCAGCCUGGCCUAAGCAAGGUGGUAGGGAGAGAAGAACAUGCCUGGGACAUGUUUGGGUCCUGGUGGUGAAGGGCAGAGCAGAGCCCUUUCCUGAGGCCUGAAUGGUAAAAGCAUCAUACAUGUCACCAUGCGCCACAGGGCAGUGAUCCCUUGGGACCACAGGCAGUAGUGGCAAGGGCAUGAAGUAUCAUUAUUAAACAUAAGAGUCUGUCAUAGGGGAUUUUCUGAAAUAACUGAGGGAAACUCUACAAGAGCAGGUGGUAGCCAAAGUCAUAGUUUAGCAAUUUAAUGAAAAAAUUCUUAGUGUUUAAGCAGGUGAUGAUAAGUCAGUCCUCUAUCUCCACUCCCUGAAUUUGGAACCUUUAGAGAUUUAGAUACAGGAGACUAAAGAUGAAAACGUCAACUUUAUUACUACUAGCACUGGCUUGGAAAUUGUCAUAUACACACAGUAAACAACCAGACAGCAGACACACUCGCUCUGUUGGGGCAAUAUUCCUGGGGGAGACCACAAAGACAAGAAUAGCAGCAGGUGUGUGGAUCCCCAGUGCCCACUGCCUUCUAAAGAAGAACAAAGUGAUCGGUGGAAUCAGACAUCAACUUUCAGGAAAGGGACUCUGCCCUUUGGGCUGAGAAAUUUUAAAGCUGCAUUAAUAAAGAAAUGCCAAGCCCUCCUCUGGAGUAAGUAGAGGUCACAGUACAGUAUAAGGAUAAUAUAAGGUUCUGGCAUGGCAGCUCAGGGAUUGUGGCUGGAGGAACAUGAGCUCCUCCCAUUGCAUAACCAGAAAGCUAGGUCUAUGCCUGGCCAUUGCUGCUGUGUACUGUGGCAACUUCACAGUGUGAAGGAAAAAUAUCUUGGGCUCCCUAAAUCACUAAGCUAAAGGGAAAAGUCAAGCUGGAAACUGCUUAGGGCAAACCUGCCUCCCAUUCUAUUCAAAGUUAUCCCUCUGCUCACUGAGAUAAAUGCAUAUCUGAUUGCCUCCUUUGGAGAGGCUAAUCAGAAACUCAAAAGAAUGCAACCAUUUGUCUCAUAUCUACCUAUGACCUGGAAACUCGCUCCCUGUUUUGAGUUGUCCCACCUUUCCAGACCAAACCAAUGUUCAUCUUACAUAUGCUGAUUGAUGUCUCAUGUCUCUCUAAAAUGCAUAAAACCAAACUGUGCUCUGACAACUUUGGGCACAUGUCAGGACCUCCUGAGGCUGUCACAGGCACGUGUGCUCAACCUUGCUUGGUAAAAUAAACUUUCUAAAUUAACUGAGACCUGUCUCAAAUUUUCUGGGUUCACAUUAGCAUGACCUGUUCCCCCAGCAUUCAUGAUUGGGAAGCCACUGCCUUUCUCCUGGCCUGCUCAGGAGGCUAGGUCCAACCCUUGGGAUUCACUGGGAUUGGCUGCCUUCCACCCACAGCUAUAAUUCAUUUCCAAGGAGCUUUGCAUCCAGCUCCUUUUCUAGAAGGCUGAUGAGUGAGAAUCAGUCUUGGACACAUUAGGGCUUACCUUUCUGAGCCACCCCAAAUGAGCUUCCCACACCUUCUUCCCAAAUUGUCCUCACCUUCUCAGAUCUGCAGGCCUUCCAGUGCAGAGGGAAGAUCUGCCUAAGUAAGUUUACUGGUUAGAGGAGCAGAAAAUGUAUGUGUCCUGAAGCAAGAUGCUGUGAAAGAGAAAACCCAGAAAAGGCUAAACCUCAGUCCUUCUUCCAAAUCAUCAGCUUAGUCAUUCACCUACCCUUGGAGAGGGGAGCAAAGGAUAGAGAAGCUGUCAGAAAUAUUCUAGUUUUUCCUCCUGGGGAGGGAAGCACAAGUUUCUUGUCCUCUAUGGAAAUGUGCAGCAGCUUUGGAUCAAAAAUAAACUGGACAUGGAUGGAUGGUGGUGAUGGCUUCACAACAGUGUGAAUGUAGUAAACACCACCGAACUGUACACUAAAAACUGGUUAAAAUAGUACAUUUUAUGAUAUUUACUACAAUUACCCAAUCACUGUAAAAAAGGAACUGGAUCUAAUCAUGCUUUUGAUUUUAUUUUUGCUUUGUUUUGAAUAGUUAAUAUAUUCAUAUGAUUUUAAAUGUAAAAAACACAAAUGGCCCCUUCAUAAUCUUUUCCUAGCUAAUGCAGUUUCUUCUUCAGAGGCAAACAAUAAAAACAGCAUUUUCAUAUUCUUCCAGAGAUAUUUUACGCAUUCUCUAGCAAAUACAUGUUUUAAAAAUUUUUGACACAAAUGGUAUUGUAUGUUACACACUGUUCUGCAAUUUGCAUUUUAACUUAAUGAAAUUUCUUGGGGAAUGCUCCAUAUCAGUGUAUCAGAGUUCCAGCAUUCAUAGAGCUAUACGUUUUCCUAGAGCACAGAUUUCCGUAGUUGGCUUAACCAGUCCCCCUUAUGUGCAAAUAUAGAUGUUUUUACUCUUUUGUUGUUCCAAACAGUGAAUAUCCUCUUAUGUGUGUCAUUUCUCAUAUUUAUCUACUCAUAAGAUAAAUUCAUAGACAUGGAAUUGUCCAAUCUUGGUUUUAAUAGUUUUCAUUAUAGGCCAACUUGACUUUAAUGCUGUUGAGUAGACAUUUGGAAUGCAGUACUAACUGACCAAGACCUCUAAUCUAACAAGCUAUCCAGAAAACUGAUGAUGUCUUUCUUACUCACAGAUCAUUGUUCCAGUUUCAUAUGUGCACUAAGGUGGGAAAACUGUCAAACAGACCCCAAGAAAAUAAUGUCCAUUUUCAAAAAGCAACUCUUUCUGGCAGAGGUCUGAUUAGCCCAUAACACAUAACUAUCUGAUUAUAAAUGAGCUUUCUUAAAAUAAUUUUUAAUAUUUUUUCCCACUGUAAUUUUUCCAUGUUUCUAUGUAUGCUAUACAUUUUUGUUUUGUAACAAUUAAAGGGCCCUGACAGGUUAGCCAGAGAAAGUAAUAUUUAUUAUCUGUAUAUUAAGAUGAGAAAACAAGGAACAUAGGCCAAGGGAAGUUUCCACUUGUCCAAAGUCACCCAGCAAGUUAGUGGGAGAGCCUGAACUAAAAUGCAGGUCACAACCUAAUCCCAUGCUCUGUUCACUGAUCCAUAUUUGUCCUUUUUGCCAGUUCUCAAAAGUAAGUGAGCUGUUCCUAAACCUAUUGGGUCUAGAAGUGGUCUCAGUUUAUGGGCAGCUGACGAUGUCUCACUAUGAAGAACUUGUCCUGAUGGUGUGCAGCUGCUGAAGAUGUAUAGCAGGGAUCUUCCAUGGGAGGUCCAAGAAGGCUGAUAUCUUCCAGGCUUGCCUAUAGGUAUAUGUGGCUCACAUGCCAAGAUGGGAACAAGUAAGUCUGAGCUUGGAGAACGUUUGAUACUGCUAAGCAGAGAAGAACCAGGGACUGUGCUCCUUCUACUUAUAAAGGAAUAAAAUUAACUGUAAAGCAUCCUUGGGCAGGUCCUUCAGGAGGUAUUCCGGAAGAGGGCAUUGUUAUCAUAGGAGAUGACAGCUCCAUCCUGUUACUGCCCCAAAGACCUUCCAGUGGGACAAGAUGUGGAGGUAGAAGACAGUGAUAUUAAUGAUCCUGACUCUGCGUAGGCCUAGGCUAAUGUGUGUGUGUCUUAGUUUUUAAAAAAGUUUAAAAAGUAAAAGACAAUUUAAAAAUUUUUAUUAGAAUAAAGCUUACAAAAUAAAGAUAUAAAGAAAGAAAAUAUUUUUGUUCAGCCAUAGAGUGUUUGUGUUUUAAGCUUAGUGUUAUUACAAAAGGUUCAAAACUUUCAAAAAAUUUAAAAGUUUAUAAAGUAAAAAGUUAUAGUUGGCUGAGUGCGGUGGCUCACACCUGUAAUCCCAGCACUUUGGGAGGCUGAGGCAGGUGGAUCGUGAGGUCAGGAGUUCGAGACCAGUCUGGCCAACACGGUGAAACCCCAUCUCUACUAAAAAUACAAAAAUUAGCCAGGUGUGGUGGUGGGUGUCUGUAAUCCCCACUACUCAGGAGGCUGAGGCAGGAGAAUUGCUUGAACCCGGGAGGCAGAGGUUGCAGUGAGCUGAGAUGGUGCCACUGCACUCCAGCCUGGGCGACAGACCAAGACUCUGUCUCAAAAAAAAAAAAAAGUUAUAGUUUAAUUUUUAAGGUUAAUUUAUUAUUGAAGAAAAAUUUUUAAUGAGUUUAGUGUAGCCUAGGUGUACACUAGGUGUUUAUAGAGUCUACGAUAGUGUACAGUCAUGUCCUAGGCCUUCACAUUCACUCAUCACUCACUAACUCACACAGAGCAACUUCUGGUCCUGCAAACUCCAUUCGUGUUGAGUGUCCUAUGUAGGUGUAUUACUUUAUAUCUUUUGUACUAUAUUUUUACUGUAUUUUUUCUUUGUUUAGAAAUGUUUGGAUACACAAACACUAGUGUGUUACAAUUGCCUACAGUAUUCAUUCAGUACAGUAACAUGCUGUUGCAACCUAGAAGCAAUAAGCUACACCAUAUAGCCUAGGUGUGCAGUAGGCUACACCAUCUAGCUUUGUGUAAGUACAUUCUUUGAAGCUUGCACGAUGACAAAAUUGCCUAAUGACACAUUUCUCAGAACAUAACUCCAUCAUUAAGCUACAUAACUUAAACCCCUGCUAUGCAAUGAAACUCAGGUAGCAUAUUAAAAAAUAGAUAACUCAAGCAUUGCAUACAGAGAAGCCAUUCUUGGAACACCAGACAAUAAGCAUUGCAUUAGAUCAGAGCAGUUCUGGGCACAUCUAUGGUCAACAAGAAAUAUUCUCAAAGUCUGAACUUUGAGCUAUAGUAGACAGACAAACUAAGAAUUCCUCAAAGUUAGUAUUUCCAACCGUGAUGUAAGAGUCUAUUCUGAGUGUUGUGACAAACUAUCUCCAGAUCUCGCUAGAGUAACACAAUAAAGGUUUGUUUCUCACCCAUCACAGUCGGGUAUGGCUGUAUGAGGGAGGCGUGAGGAAGGAUCUGCUCCUCGCCCAUCACAGUCGGGUAUGGCUGUAUGAGGGAGGCGUGAGGAAGGCUCUGCUCCAUGCAUUCAUGGAAGUGGCCUUGAUCACCAGCCUAGCACUUCACUGGCAGGGCUCAGUCAAUGACAUCUAGUGGCUGGGAAGCUCGGAAAUGAGCUUUCCUUUGUGCUCAGAAGUAGGACUUGGGCGAACACAUAGCAGUAUCUCUGCUCCAUCCACAUAAACGGGCUCAGAACUUAAAUGGAAAGAGACGCUGAAGAGGGCAUCAAAUAUAUGAGAACUGGAACAGGGAAAGGAACAAAGAUCUGAACAGGAUCAGAUAGAGAUAUUUGCCUACAGACAAGUCCUUGGUUAAAAGACCGUGGAAAUUGAUUCUAGAACUAUAUAUUAUUUAUGGCUUGUGGGACGCAGAAAUGUGUUCUGGUUACCUGUGCAAUAAACUGUACAUACUUCUCAUUUCAGAGUUGGAGUCAAUCACUCUCUGUUGGCCUUUUUUGCUGUCUUUACAAAGUCAUGGGUUAACGAACCCUACUGGGUACUUCUAACAUGAGGUGUCUGGGCUGGGAGAGUCUUACUGGCAAUUGAUGUCAAGAUUCUUCGUCCAGAGGCACAGAGCAGAAAGGUUCUUGGUCCACAGACACCUUAAAACAAGGCCACCCUGGCCAGGUUUAUUCCCGUCUGGCGGCCUACACAUUUCUUAUAUCCUGGAAAAACUGGUGAGCAAGCAAGUGUCGACCUCAGAGUCUCUGACAGGGCUAUUUUGAAACCACACACCAUGAAAACUCUCAGGGAAGUUAAAAAACAAACAAUCAUAACCAAGGCAGUUUAGCUGUUUUGAAAAGAGAUGGAGCUUCAUUACUUCAAACCCAAAUUUCUGCAAGCCUGACAACCACCUUACAUCAAAAUAAACGUCUACCUGCUAGCUGAAAUGUUUAAAAACACAGUUACCAUGUGAGGUAAGCAGAGCUGACCUUGACUGGCAUCUCUAUCAGCAGCUCAGUGGGAUUAAAUGGCUUGCCAAUGUCACAAGAAUGUGAGCUCCUUUCUUCAUCUUUCUGCUCCAAUGUAGCAACUACCAAGGGGCCACCUGACAGAACAUGGCCGCUGCAGAGGAACCCUGCUACCUGCAGUUGGUGACAUGGCCUAGGUCCCAGAGGCCUCGUGGUGCCACACACACAAGAACAGGCACCAACAACCAGUGACAUUUUGACAGUCAAAUGGAACCUGUGACUGCCAUCUGUAGAUGUGCCAGCCAAGAAUGUGACCCUGGGGAAAGCCCUUCACACAGGUCUUUCCUUGGUGUAUUUAUAUUUAGUUCCAGCGAAAAACUGCAGUUGUUUUUCUCAGUGACAGGCAUCAAACGAUAACCGAAAAGAAUGAGAAAUAAUUGUUCCCUUUCUCCCUGUUAGGAGAUUGUACUCUUUGAAUUUGGGACCACAGCUCUCUGAACAGCUAGCUCUCCCAUGCCUGGCUCAUGAGACAUCAUAAAUGUUGAUUGUAUUAAAGACAAUUUAGAGGGAAAGGACUUGAAUUCUGGUUCUAAGCUAUUAAAAAUAUUUCUACAUUUUAAUUUUUAAAUUAAGAAAGAUUUUGUACAUAUGGAAAGGUGCAGAAUAUAAAACAGACAACCAUAUGCUUACCAUCCAGAUUAAACAACUGUUAACGUUUUCUCGUAUUUACUUCAGAUCACUUGAAACAAAAGAAAGACAAAAAGAUACGGCUAAAGCCUUGGCCCCCUUCACUCACAUCCCUCCCCUCCUCCCCUCUGCAGAGCAACUUCUGCCUGAAGCUGGUGUGUGUCAUUUCCAUGCAUGAUCUUGUGCUUUCAGUACAUAUUUGUAUAUCCAAAACAAUAUUUACUAUUGUUUUGUGUGCAUUCUUAAUUUACAUAAAUGGCAUCAUAUUGUAAAUUCUCUUGCAACUUGGCUUUUCUUACUCAACAGUACAUUUUAGGGACUUAUUUAUGUUGUGUGGAUACAGUGUAGACCUAGUUCAUUCAUUUUAACUUAAUUGUGAAAUACCAUAGUUUACUUAUCCAUUUCCCUAUUGGGUAAAAUUAGUUAUUGCUUUAUUGUCGUUGUUGUUUAUUGCAAUGAACAUGCCUGUGCAUGCAUCUUUGUGCACGUGUUUGUUAGUGUAAAUGCCCUGAAGUGAAAUUGCUAAUUAGUAGGAAAUAUACUUCUGCACCUUCCUUAGCAGAGACAAAUUGUUCUCCCAAGUGGUUGUACCUAUUUGAACUCAUGCUAGAUUAGAAAUCCCUGUGUUCCUACAUCCUUACCAUCAUUUGUGAGGCUUUCAAUUUUUCUUAUCCAAUAAGUACAAAUGACAUUUUAUUUUUUUAAUUCACAUCUCUCUAAUUAUUCAUGAGCUUAAGCAUUUUUACAUGUUUACUAACCAGUUGUGUAUGUGCAUGUGUGUGCAUGUGAGAGAGAGAGAGAAAUAGGUUUUAAUCCUUUGUUCUUUUCUUAUAAAUUUAUAGUUGUAUUUAUUCUGAAGUUCUUAUCUGAGUUGAAAAGUGUUCUCACAAAUGGUAUCUUGCCUUUUAAUUUUGUUUAUGUCAUGUUCUAUUAUAAAUAGCUUUUUAAUUUUCAUGUAGUUAAAUUUAUAUGUCUUUUCAAGGUUUGUGGGCAUUUGUCCCUUAGUUAAUAAAUCUGUUUCUAACUCUACAUUCAAGAUAUUCUCCCACAUUGUUUUCUAAAAAUUCUAAAUUUUUUUUCCCUUCACAUUUAAAUUUUUGUCCAUCUGGAAUUUACUUUUGCUUAUGUGAUGAGUAGGGAUCUAAUUUUAUCUUUUUCCAAGCAGAAAGUUAAUUGUCAAGGAUGAUCCAGACUUUCCCGCUGUUUGAAAUGUCAUUUCU
This 12874-nucleotide long non-coding RNA is filed under the name Homo sapiens (human). Its description in RNAcentral is "HSALNT0166266". The record is from RNAcentral. Lineage: Eukaryota; Metazoa; Chordata; Mammalia; Primates; Hominidae.